RNAcentral lists this long non-coding RNA (237 nucleotides) under Mytilus galloprovincialis (Mediterranean mussel). Lineage: Eukaryota; Metazoa; Mollusca; Bivalvia; Mytilida; Mytilidae. The record is from RNAcentral.
GCUUGAUUUUUUCUUCUGACAAACCUUCAUUAUGCUUGAUUUUCCCUAGCAGAUGUUAUAGGGGAUCAAAGUCUUCUUGAUCUUGGAAGGUCUUUAACAUCGUUUGUUGACUGAUUUUUAUUCUCAAAACGACUUCUAGUGGAAUGGUGAUGACCAACAAAUCGUGCAAUUAUCACAGCGAGAUACCUGUUUCUCUCAUGCUGGUUAUCUACCAUCUGGCUGCAGUUAUGAGUUUUG